Molecule: ribosomal RNA, 468 nt
Filed under: uncultured bacterium
Lineage: Bacteria
Description: partial 16S ribosomal RNA
Rfam family: Bacterial small subunit ribosomal RNA
Source: RNAcentral
GACGAACGCUGGCGGCGUGCUUAACACAUGCAAGUCGUACGGAAAGGCCCUGCUUUUGUGGGGUGCUCGAGUGGCGAACGGGUGAGUAACACGUGAGUAACCUGCCCUUGACUUUGGGAUAACUUCAGGAAACUGGGGCUAAUACCGGAUAGGAGCUCCUGCUGCAUGGUGGGGGUUGGAAAGUUUCGGCGGGUGGGGAUGGACUCGCGGCUUAUCAGCUUGUUGGUGUGGUAGUGGCUUACCAAGGCUUUGACGGGUAGCCGGCCUGAGAGGGUGACCGGCCCCAUUGGGACUGAGAUACGGCCCAGACUCCUACGGGAGGCAGCAGUGGGGAAUAUUGCACAAUGGGCGGAAGCCUGAUGCAGCAACGCCGCGUGCGGGAUGACGGCCUUCGGUUUGUAAACCGCUUUCGCCUGUGACGAAGCGUGUGUGACGGUAAUGGGUAAAGAAGCACCGGCUAACUACGUG